Colius striatus (speckled mousebird) is the source of this 91-nucleotide small nucleolar RNA. RefSeq annotates it as small nucleolar RNA SNORD35. Lineage: Eukaryota; Metazoa; Chordata; Aves; Coliiformes; Coliidae. The record is from RefSeq and is a predicted model, not a curated record. The transcript has a single exon.
CGGCUGUGAUGUCUCAACUCACGAUGGUCUGCAGAGUCCCCGCUGGCACGGGGCUGCUGAGGGUGCCACUGGCAGCUGCUGAGCCGGGAGC